RNAcentral lists this long non-coding RNA (6153 nucleotides) under Chinchilla lanigera (long-tailed chinchilla). Its description in RNAcentral is "lncRNA (ENSCLAG00000024311.1)". The record is from RNAcentral. Lineage: Eukaryota; Metazoa; Chordata; Mammalia; Rodentia; Chinchillidae.
CAGGGGUGGAAGAAAUGGCCCCCGAGGCUCUGCUAACCCUACCUCAGCUCUAUUUGUAGGCAAUAACCCAGAGUAGAAGUUCUCAAGGUACAAGACCCAGACCAGUUCCGCCAACAGCACCUGGAAAGGGUACAUUUUUUUUCUUCAACCCAAGCAGCCCGGAAACAGAAACUGGAAAGUGUAGACUUAAAAAGCCUGUCCCCUCUGUACUCUCUGCCACCAAAUCAGACACAGGUGCAACCCUAGAAGGUUAUGAAUCUCUAAAGGGCUCAGAAACCCAGGGGUAGACAGUGCUAUCCCCUCUCCCACACCCCACCUGGCAAGUCCAGGAGCAGCAGCUAAAGAUAGGUUUUCUUCGAUCUAUCAAGAGCAGAGCAGCACUUCCUGUGCCCCGAGCCUCAUUAGCACAUUGGUGGCGGUGCUUCCUGUCACUGACUCGCUGUUUCCAUUCUGCCAAAGUGAUUUGCUGUUUUCGCUCUGCUCCGGGGGUUGGAGAAAGAUGAGUUUCUCACAGAGCCUCUCCUGGGCCUGUUGGCAGCUUGUCCCUCUGUGCCCCUCGCAUUUCCAGCAGAAGGCCGAGAUGAGAGAGCGUCCCUGAGCCGCCUCACUCUGGGAGCCUGGCACCUGAACAGCGCUCGCCUCCUGCAGCAGGCCGCAUAGCCAGCCCAGGAGCCAGCAAGUAAGAAGAGUGGCAGAUGUGCUGCCUGGCUGGUCAUGACUGAGGCCAGAAGUAGAGGCUGAAGCCAGAGAGGACUGCAGAGUUUCCCGAAGGAUGGACAUCACCCCAGCCUCUUUGGACAUCACGAGGCAGACGUUAGAUACCAGCCCUUCCAGCAGCUGGGAAGCGGAUAAGGAACAGAGCAGCAUCUUUUCUGGGUUUGCGGGACUCCUCGCCCUCCUCCUGAUCAUCACAGCUUCCUGCAUCCUGUGGAACUGGAACAAAAAGAAGAGGCGGCAAGUUCCUUACCUCCGAGUGACCAGCAUGCCCUCACUGACCCUGCCUCAACCCAGACCACGAGCCAAAAAUAUUUACGACCUCUUGCCUCGCCGACAAGCAGAGCUAGGGAGACGUCAAUCAAGAAGUAUCCAUAUUUUCAGCACCGAGAGCCUCAUCUCCAGAACCUCUGACAGCCCUGAGCAUGUGUCCUUUCAAACAGAUAACACCCUGCAGAGUCACCGAGUCCACAUCCGUGCUGUGCACUAUGCGCUGGGUGUCUAUGACAAUGCCUCUGUGCCCCAGAUGCAUGGGAACCUUGCUCCCUCGGCACACUACAUCAACAUCACAGCUUCCAGGGAUGGCUCGAGCACAUCUUCAGAGGAGUCAAAUGAUUAUGUCAAUGUCCCUACGGCAGAAGAGACUGCUGAGAUGUUAACUUCUACUAACAACCCACUGGAAAAUGUCUUUGUCCUGCCCAGCAUCCAAGAGCUGGAGUUUAAUGAGGAAGGACAAGAGAGCUGCGGGGACACCAGCGAUGGCACCAGUUUGGGGCUUCCAGGAACUGAGGGCAGUGAUCCACUCAGUGAUGGGGAAGGUUCUUCUCAGACCUCCCAUGACUAUGUCAACAUGACAGGAUUGGAUAUUGGGGACAUCCAGGAGAAGGAGUCCCGGGUGGAUUUUCAGGGCUGCAGAGAUUAUGUAAAUGUCCCAGCAGCAGAUCCCAGUGGAAGCCAACAGCAGGCUGAGGAAGAAGAGAAGUCUUCAAACACAGACUGUAGAGAGGGCAGGACAGAUGGUCCAGGGACCCACACCCACCCUGUCACAAGGAGAUCCCUCUCUUCAGGGUAUUGUGUGGUCUUUCUGCCAUCCAUACAGAGUGGGGACAGCCAAAUGACACAUGGGGAAGAGGUGUCAGAUGAAGACUCAGAUGACUACGAGAACGUGCUGGCUGCUGAGUUAGGAGGCAGGGGCUGGGAGCAAGGGCCUGGCAUUCAGCUUCUUCCUGAUCAGUGAACACCCAGGUACCCAGCUGGAACGCCUCAUGGAGCUUACCACCCUGCUGGUCCUCAGCUGCUGCAGUCUAGUGAAGAUGCCCAAGCACAGUAGUUCAGUAGAUUCAGUUGGUCAAGCUAACCAGAGGCUGAGAGGGAGUGAGGAGGUAACAGGCUGCAUAAAAACAAAGGUUUGGGGAAGGAAUUCCAGGGGUGGGUUGUCUCUCAUACUGACCUCAGAACGUUUGCUGAAACUGCCAGAUUGGACUGUUAGGAAAUAAAAAACAACAUAGUACUUAGCACACAGUGGAAGGGUAGACUAAAAUAAUUACCGUCACUAAUGGACAUAGCCCCAAAGCAGGAGUGUAGAUUUCUUUGUGAUCCAAGCAAAGACCAAAAGGAAGGAAGAAGUAGGGUUAGGGUUGGCGAUUUCCAUUUUCCAAAAAUGUGGACAAUGACACACGUCUCCUACCUCUCUCCACUAAGAGGACGUGGAAGCUCUUGGUUUCUAAAUGCUAUUCUGCAGUCAAAGCAGCCAGAGUUCUAGGGGCUGAGAUAGGGAAAAUACAAGAUGAGCUUUUGCAUCUUGUAGAAAAGGAGAGAGGGAGAGGAAGAGAGAGAGAGAGAGAGAAGGAAGGAGAGAGAGAGAGAAGGAAGAAGAGAGAGAGAGGAGGGAGAGAAAGAGAAAAGGAGGGAGAGAGAGAGAAAGGAAGGAGAGAGAGAGAGAGGCCAACUGAAAGAGCUCCCAAAGACAAAGCUAGAACAAGGUUAAAUAAAUAAAAAAAAGAUGAGUUCCAAAUAAUACAUAUACAAAGAAGGAGGGAAACACAAAAUCACCAUGAAGAUACCACAGAACAAAUGCUACAGCCAAAUCCACUCUGAACACUAAAGUUAGUAAAACUUUAAGGAGAAACAAAAAAAUUGCAUAGCCUCAAAGAAUCUCUUUGAAAAUAUUUAUUCACUACUGUGAUUUUAACACAUAUCCACAAAGUAUCUGAUGCUUCCCUGGGAGUUUGAUUCCCCUCCCCCUUCAGCAUAGGCUAAAUUUAGUGACACUUUCAUAAUGGAUAGAAUAUAGAAAAAGGAAAAUAGUGCUUUACAGGAGAGAAAUCUGGCAGACUCACCUUAACCAAGGGACUAAGAUCAGCCCCAGGUAGAAUGAAGAACAGCACCCAAAAAAUCCAUAACCCCAGUCUUAUCAUCAGGAAAAUCCAAAUUAUAUAACAUGGACAGACACCUGACCAGAGCUAUUCAAAGCAUCAAGGUCAGGAAAGAGAGGGGAAGGCUGAGAAAUGGUCAAAGAUUGGAGGAGACCAAAGGGUCUCUGAAUGCAUCCUGAUGGCUUGGGCUGGAUCCUGGAACAGCAACAACAAAAAAGGACCUUAUUGGAAAAACUACUACAUUAAAAGAUGUCCAUAUUUUAGCUAGUACCGUUGUAUGAGUGUUAAUUCCUUCAUUUUUAUAACUGUUCUGUGGUUAUGUAAGAUGUUAACAUAGGGGAAAGCCGGGUGCAAGAUACACAGGAACUCUCUCUAAACUAUUCUUGUAACUUGCAUAAAUCUUAAAUUAUUUCAAGAUAAAAAAUAAUUUUAAAACAUGGACAGCUGGGCAUGGUGGCGCACACCUGUAAUUCCAGCACUUGGGAGGCUGAGGCAGGAGGAUCACUGUGAGUUCGAGACCAGCCUGGGCUACAAAGUGAGCUCAAAGUGAGCUCAGUUCAGGUUCAAUGCUAACCUGAACCGCACAGCAAGACCCUGUCUCAAAAAGACAAAAAAAUUUAAAAAAAAAUAAAACAUGGACAAAGGUGGAGGUGAAAGCAUCUGCGUUCGUCCCAUUUAAAUAAAUGGGAACCGUUCCAUGUUUUUUUCCUUCUCCAAUGGAUUCAACGUAAAUCACAUGUUUGUGUAGUUGUUCCAAGUACUGUUUGUUUUCUGUUCUGUUUUGUUAACAUAUAUGCCCAACCUCCCCUGUUGGUCUCCAGCCACACUGCCUGCUGGAAAAUAUCCUGAAGUAGUCUGUGUUCACCCUGGCUCCUAGCACAAGGGUCAAAAUAUUGUUUUUGUUUUUCUUUAAAUUUUAUUUUAAAGAGAGUGGCAAAUGAGAAACAAACAAACAAAAAAAUAGAACAAUAGCAGCGUACCAGUAUCACAAACAUAAACAAACCAAAGCAAGAACAUUUCAAGUGAUACAGGGUUUCAAGACAGAAUAAUAUGAAUUAACAGUGGUUGUUAUAUUACAUAUCCUUGUCCUCAACUAUGUUCCUCAGAUUACCAGAUGUAAGAAUGGAAGAUUGUUCAAACCAUUAAAGAGAAUAAGAAAAUAAUAUUAGAUAAAACAUUAGAGAUAUUACAGAGUUUCACUAGACAAGAUGGUAGGAAUUCACCAUGGUAAUUCCAUUGCAUAUUGUUACCUCCAAAUCAGUUGCUCAGAUUACCAGAUAUAAGCAUGCAAAAUUGAUCAGAACAUAAAAAAUUUUAAGCAUUAACUGUUCAUUUCAAUAUACCAUCAGACAUCAGCAAUACAGUUAUUGCAGCUAUUCAUAUAUAUAUUUAUAUUUUGCCUUCUUUCUUUUUUCUUCUUUCCCUCAUCCAAGUUGUUCCUUCCUUUGAGCAAUUUCUUUCCUUUUCCUAUCAUCUAUUAUAUGCUUUGAGUUUUACUUAUUCUUUCAGGUGCCUACACCAAGGAAACAAUAUGAUAUUUACACAUGUGGGUCUGAUUUAUUUCACUUAUGAGUAUGGUCUCCAGUUGCAUCCAUUUACCUACAAAAACCUUGAGUUUAUUCUUUUUAUAGCUGAGUACUACUCCAUUGUAUAAAAAUACUACAUCUUUUUAUCCAUUCCUCAGUGGAUGGGCAUUUGGGUUUUUUCCGAGAUUUAGCUAUAACAAAGUGUGCUGCUAUAAACAUGUGUGCACAUAUGUCGCUGCGGUAUGAUGUCUUUAAUUCUUCUGGGAAAAUACAAGGGUCAAAAUAAAGGCAGGUUAUUGACAACUGAUGAUUAAUAAGGUGGCUUAGUGCUCUCACUUUUUUCUUUUUCUUUUCUUUCUUUUUUCUUUUUCUUUUUUUUUUUUUUUUUUUUUUUUUUUUUUUUUUUUUUGACAGCAGUGUGUAUUGAAUUCAGGGCCUUUGCACUGAGCCACAUUUCUAGCCCUUUUUUGGUUUUUAUUUUUGAGAUGGGGCCUUGCUAAGUUGACAGUCAGGGCUCCAGCUUAAGCUCCCACCUCAGCCUCCCAGAAUGCUAGGAUUACAAGCGUGUGCCACCAUGGCUCCAUUCAGUGUUCUUACUUGUGCCAUAAAAUGUUGAGUGAGGUUCACCUCUCAUCUGAAUUCAGAAUGCCACCAGUGUACAGUGACUAGCCAACCCCUCAGGCCUUACUUCCCGGAACCAUAUCAGAAGGCUGAGAGGUGGCUGAGCGUGGUCACAAAGAGAAGGAUCUCCUCCUUCACUCUCUCCAUCCCGGUAAGUGGUAACCAUCUCCCUCUGCCAAGGAGAACGGGAGGAAGAGAGUGCUGCCAGACCAAGAGAGAUGGCUGUGAGGCCGCUGCUUCUGUCCCACGGAAUGUGGCAAGAGUAGUAUAUGUGAGCUGGGGAGGGACCUGGGCCUGGCCAUCUACAGGCACUGCCCCAGCGUGGUGCCACAGCCAGAGACCCCAGACGACUCUGUGAUAUGUGGACCAUCUGAGGUGGCUUUGCAAGUCCCUGGAUGGGACAACAGCAGAUCGUUACAGAAAUCUGAUGUCUCUGUUGUGGGUACAUGUUUUCAGGGAAAUCAAACUCCCCCUCUGUGAUCACAAAAAACAAAUAUUGAAGCAUGGUAGAACACCUUAUAAUCCCAGCUAUUCCGGAGGCUCAAUGUCAACUGGGGCAUCUUAGUGAGAUGCUGUGUCAAAAUAAAAAUAAAAAUAAAAAGGACUAGAGAUGUAGGUCAGUGGUAGAGUGCUCCUGGGUUCAAUCCCCAACACUGAAAAAGCUAAAUAAUAAUAGUAAUAAUAAUAAUACUAAAGAAAGAAAUGUUUGGUUUUUGGUGGAAGGCUGAGGUAGGAACCUGAGGCAAGAGGACAUCCUGGGCUACAGAGGGAGUGCAAGCCCAGCUUAUCUCAAUCAAACAAACAAAUAAAAAUGUUGUCUUUUGUCCCUUGUUUCUGGCAGUGCUGAUGGCAGCUGGAGACUUUUGAGGGGGCUGAAGUGGGGGCACAUCUGAGUGACGUUGUGCAGUCCACACUCA